Molecule: long non-coding RNA, 1506 nt
Organism: Patella vulgata (common limpet)
Lineage: Eukaryota; Metazoa; Mollusca; Gastropoda; Patellidae
Exons: 2
Source: RefSeq, a predicted model, not a curated record
UCAAUGUAAUUUGCUUAUCUGGUCAACAAAGGUCCAUUUACAUUGAUUUUGAUGGAAAAUUAGAUCUGAAUUACAUAUUACAUAUUUAAAGUUUACAUUUCUUGAUUAUAAAGGUAGAAUUUGAAAUUAUUUUCUCAGUGUUUUAAAUGGGUUGGUUUUUUUUUUUGAUGGCUUUGACCAUUAAAUUGAAAAAAAUCAAUGAAAUGGACCUUUGUUGUGGUGUGGAUAGGCUUGGGUGUAGGGGUGCCGGGAGCCCAAGUAGUGUCGUUAAAAAAGUAUUAACAUUAGUGUUACUUUACUCUUAUUUUAUGAAAGUUUUUUUCGCAAGUUGAUUUCCUUUAUUUUUUUAAUGUAGAAUGGUAAUGAACUGCUUUUUUCCUUUUCUUUGCUUUAUUUGUUCCGUUUGAAUUUGAUUUAUCUGUUUAGUUUUUGAUUGUUUAAUUAUUGUUUUUGUUAAUUAAGUUGAUUCUUUUAAACUUUGUUUUUAUUUUUAUACGUCCGUCGUCCACAAUUUCUUGUGAACGCUCUAGAGACUAAAGUUAAUAUCUGAUAUUUACUGCCAGAGUUAUAGCCCUUGAUCACUUUGAUAAAUCUUGUGAACGCUCUAGAGGCUAAAGUUAAUAUCCAAUGGACUCCAAAUUGUUACACAGUGUGUAAGGUCAUGAGACGAAGAAGCCUAAUGAUUUUCAGCGAUAUCCGAUAAUUACUACCAGAGUUAUGGCCCUUGAUCACUUUGAAAAAUCUUGUGAAGACUCUAGAGGCUAAAGUUAAAAUCCAAUUGACUUUAAAUUUAUACACAGUGUUUAAGGUCAUGAGACAAGACGCCUAUUGAUUUUCAGCGAGAUCUGAUGAUUACUGCAAGAGUUAUGGCAUUGAUAUGUGAGAGACAUCAGUUUAAAGUCGAUUCUGGUUAUUAUAAUCUAAUGUAUGAACUUUGUGUUGAUUUUACCAGCCUGUAAUUGUGGUAUCAUAAUUAAUUGUGAUUUUAACAUUUUUUUUAGUUAACUAUAUUAAAUGAAUUCCAAAUGUACGUGUUGGCGAGGGGGUACAUUAAUAAUUAUAUGUUUUUGUAGUACAUGUUCCUUGUUUUAUAAUAAAACUACGCCCUUUCAUUUUUCAGAAGAAAAGUAUAGAAAAUAUUUCCAAUUAUCUAUCUUGAGAUCACAGAGAUUGAAUGCUGCAGGUCUUGUGUUUAGUGUAUAGACUAAUUGGUGGAUGUUAUUAACAUUAACCUUUUAGCAAAGGUUAGCUUGAUGAUGUUACUGACUUUGCAGUGUAGUGGAAGAUGUUAACCUAACUUUGGUAGACAACAAGCCUAACCCUGAAGUCAACGAUGUACAAUAUGUCAGUGUCACUGUUCCACUACCAAACGUAACGCGAAUAUAAACAAUACUUACGGGUACAUGUAUUUACUUUGAUUGAAAUGAGGUCAACUUAAAAAUUUGUGUAGAUGUGUUAUUUGUUGUAACAGUUAUAUCCAUAAAAGUUAUAUCCAUAAAAUGUAAA